RNAcentral lists this long non-coding RNA (1096 nucleotides) under Danio rerio (zebrafish). Its description in RNAcentral is "si:ch211-229g11.5 (ENSDARG00000097266.3)". The record is from RNAcentral. Lineage: Eukaryota; Metazoa; Chordata; Actinopteri; Cypriniformes; Danionidae.
AAUAAGCAAAAAGUAAAAUCACUUUACUCAUGUUUACAUGUUAAAUUGCACUUGUCUCUCUCUAUCUCUGUUAACACAUUUAUAUUUGUUUGAUUAAUUCUUGUGUCUUUCAGCCUGUUUCUGCCUAUCACCAUGAGUGAUUCCUCAAUACUCAGAUUUAUCAUCAAGAUCUCAAUUAUAAGCUCAAGUUUUGAUGACAACUUGGUGAUCUGCAGAAAGCACCACCAUGUAAGGAAGGCCAAGACCACUCUGGAAUCAGUCAAGGGUGAAAUGGAGUGAGGCAUACCAGGAUAUGCCUGGUUUUACUUUUGGGAAGGAGGUUGAACAGUGCAAUAUUUCUUCUAUAGGAUUGCAGUGACCAGACAUGCUACUGUAACUCUCAUGGUCAUGUGCUGGAAUUAGCAGAUAUUCAACAAUUUGGCCAUCUCGCUGACCUGUUGAUAUCAGAAGACCGCAGCAGCUCUGCAAAGCAAGUUGCAAAACAGAAUCCAUGAAACUGGCAGUGACUGGAAACCAAUUGGAAGACUUUGGUCUGUGAUGUAGAGGAGUGGGCAGAGGUAGCAGAAGCAAAGACAACAAAAAGAAGAAGUGAUAUGGAUGUCUUCGUCAUAUGGCAUGACUCUGCUGACCCAGCAACAAAGAGGAGGGUGUUCAACAUCAUCCUGCUAGUCAGGAUUCUUCAGGAGAAGCAGUGGAUUCUUGUGGCAGAGAUGGUCAACCACUAUAAAUACCUUUCAACUCAUCCUGGUUCUUUCAAAGAACUUUCUUGCUUGUUUGCUACUGAAAUAUUCGACAUGUGGCCUUAACGAAGAGGGGUUAAAAGGUCUAUGGAUCAUCAUUCUCAAAAAGCAACAAAAUAACUGAGAAAUAAACAACAAUACGAUGGUGCAAUCUAGAGACCUGCAAGGUACCUGCAAGUUUUGGCUGGAGCAGAGAACAUAGAUUUUUUUUAAAUAAAGCUCCAGCUGAUGAGUAUGACAUUGACUGUGGAUUUUCUUUUACUGUAAUCCAGAAGAGGAUGACCUUAACCCUGAAUCUAAAGCAUGUAAUAAAAUCUGUAAAAAAUUAAAUAAAAUUGUCAUCAUCUAUAACCAAA